Molecule: small RNA, 106 nt
Filed under: Arabidopsis thaliana (thale cress)
Lineage: Eukaryota; Viridiplantae; Streptophyta; Magnoliopsida; Brassicales; Brassicaceae
Description: ATSL224580
Source: RNAcentral
UUAAAACAAAAAGACAGCCGAACAAUUGUAUAUAAACCCAAAAACCCAACAUAAUUAUAUCUAAAAAUUUAGCCACAAUUAUACCUAAAACCAAAAACACAACACU